This 501-nucleotide ribosomal RNA is filed under the name Escherichia coli. RNAcentral describes it as "bacterial SSU rRNA". It matches the Rfam family "Bacterial small subunit ribosomal RNA", at positions 327 to 821 of the family's 1533-position model. Lineage: Bacteria; Pseudomonadati; Pseudomonadota; Gammaproteobacteria; Enterobacterales; Enterobacteriaceae. The record is from RNAcentral.
CAGUCCAGACUCCUACGGGAGGCAGCAGUGGGGAAUAUUGCACAAUGGGCGCAAGCCUGAUGCAGCCAUGCCGCGUGUAUGAAGAAGGCCUUCGGGUUGUAAAGUACUUUCAGCGGGGAGGAAGGGAGUAAAGUUAAUACCUUUGCUCAUUGACGUUACCCGCAGAAGAAGCACCGGCUAACUCCGUGCCAGCAGCCGCGGUAAUACGGAGGGUGCAAGCGUUAAUCGGAAUUACUGGGCGUAAAGCGCACGCAGGCGGUUUGUUAAGUCAGAUGUGAAAUCCCCGGGCUCAACCUGGGAACUGCAUCUGAUACUGGCAAGCUUGAGUCUCGUAGAGGGGGGUAGAAUUCCAGGUGUAGCGGUGAAAUGCGUAGAGAUCUGGAGGAAUACCGGUGGCGAAGGCGGGCCCCCUGGACGAAGACUGACGCUCAGGUGCGAAGCGUGGGGAGCAACAGGAUUAGAUACCCUGGUAGUCCACGCCGUAAACGAUGUCGACUUGGA